RNAcentral lists this ribosomal RNA (229 nucleotides) under uncultured bacterium. RNAcentral describes it as "partial 16S ribosomal RNA". It matches the Rfam family "Bacterial small subunit ribosomal RNA", at positions 568 to 796 of the family's 1533-position model. The record is from RNAcentral.
UGCGUAGGCGGGCAGCUCAGUCAGUGGUGAAAGUUUGCAGCUCAACUGUAAAAUUGCCAUUGAUACUGGUUGUCUUGAAUUAAUGUGAAGUGGUUAGAAUAUGUAGUGUAGCGGUGAAAUGCAUAGAUAUUACAUAGAAUACCAAUUGCGAAGGCAGAUCACUAACAUUAUAUUGACGCUGAUGGACGAAAGCGUGGGGAGCGAACAGGAUUAGAUACCCUGGUAGUCC